GAAAGGAACUGGAAGAUCAGAGGUGCGGAGCAUCACUCCUGGAUGUGCACUUCAUUUCCCUUUCCCUGAAAGCUUAGUUGUGAUUUAAGUAUUGUUUGGCUGGAUCCCCUCCCCUAAGAGUUCCUUCAAACAACUUCCAUAGGUUACAUUCAGUGGAUGGCAUAAUUGCUGAGCCCCAUCAUAGCUGAGAUUUUUUAUUUGUGUGCGUUAGUCUGGGUUCUCCAGAG
Molecule: long non-coding RNA, 227 nt
Filed under: Bos taurus (domestic cattle)
Lineage: Eukaryota; Metazoa; Chordata; Mammalia; Artiodactyla; Bovidae
Description: long non-coding RNA NONBTAT009453
Source: RNAcentral